This 375-nucleotide ribosomal RNA is filed under the name uncultured bacterium. RNAcentral's name for it is "bacterial SSU rRNA". It matches the Rfam family "Bacterial small subunit ribosomal RNA", at positions 30 to 407 of the family's 1533-position model. The record is from RNAcentral.
AUUGAACGCUGGCGGCAUGCCUUACACAUGCAAGUCGAACGGCAGCACGGGGCAACCUGGUGGCGAGUGGCGAACGGGUGAGUAAUGCAUCGGAACGUGCCAUUGAGUGGGGGAUAACGUAGCGAAAGUUGCGCUAAUACCGCAUAUUCUGUGAGCAGGAAAGCAGGGGACCGCAAGGCCUUGCGCUCUUUGAGCGGCCGAUGUCAGAUUAGCUAGUUGGUGAGGUAACGGCUUACCAAGGCGACGAUCUGUAGCGGGUCUGAGAGGAUGAUCCGCCACACUGUAACUGAGACACGGUCCAGACUCCUACGGGAGGCAGCAGUGGGGAAUUUUGGACAAUGGGCGCAAGCCUGAUCCAGCCAUGCCGCGUGAGUG